CGCGGGGUGGAGCAGCCUGAUAGCUCGUCGGGCUCAUAACCCGAAGGUCGUCGGUUCAAAUCCGGCCCCCGCAACCA
Molecule: transfer RNA, 77 nt
Filed under: Escherichia coli
Lineage: Bacteria; Pseudomonadati; Pseudomonadota; Gammaproteobacteria; Enterobacterales; Enterobacteriaceae
Also listed under: 3 other names
Description: tRNA-Met
Rfam family: tRNA
About the family: Transfer RNA (tRNA) molecules are approximately 80 nucleotides in length. Their secondary structure includes four short double-helical elements and three loops (D, anti-codon, and T loops).
Source: RNAcentral